GUGAACGCUAGCGGUGCGCCUAACACAUGCAAGUCGAACGGCCCGCAAGGGCAGUGGCGGACGACUGCGUAACACGUUGGAACCUGCCCCGAACUCAGGGAUACCCCGGAGAAAUCCGGGUUAAUACCGGAUGAUCCCGCAAGGGUAAAGAUUUUUCGGUUCGGGAGGGGCCUGCGGCCUAUCAGCUAGUUGGUGAGGUAAUGGCUCACCAAGGCUAUGACGGGUAGCUGGAUUGAGAGAUCGACCAGCCAGGAUGGGACUGAGAUACGGCCCAUACUCCUACGGGAGGCAGCAGUGAGGAAUCUUCCGCAAUGGGCGAAAGCCUGACGGAGCGACACCGCGUGGAGGAUGAAGUCAUUCUUUGAUGUAAACUCCUGUUCUGAGGGAACAAAUUUUUGAGUGUACCUCAGGAGAAAGCAACGGCUAACUACGU
Molecule: ribosomal RNA, 433 nt
Filed under: uncultured bacterium
Lineage: Bacteria
Description: bacterial SSU rRNA
Rfam family: Bacterial small subunit ribosomal RNA
Source: RNAcentral